CUAUUUUGUAUUUUCUCUGCAUCCCAGAGUUGGUACGGUCAAAGAGACUAAGUGCUACCUGGAUGUUGCUCACCACCUGCCUGUCUGCCUCUUUUCUACCCAGUGCAAGACUUAUUUCAAAUUCCUACAGGGUAUGCUUGGCGAGGACUCAUUUUACUGUGCCCAAUCCAGUGGUCAGUAGGCAAACUAGGUAGACUUGGGGAGGCCCAGGCCUCAUUCUAUCUGCUAGGCUUUGUUUAGAAAUCUUAAUCCUAAUUAUUCUUGAGUACAUUUAAAACAGUAAAUUUUUUGUCACACCGAUCAGCCACUAGAACUGAAGGGCAGUUUUUUAUCUUUUCUCUUUAAAGAAUGUAGAACAGAACAAACACAAGUAGUUAUCACAACUGGAAGUCCACCUCGCUGAGACAGGGAAUUCUCUUCAAGACUUACGUGCAGCUGCCUACUUGACAUCUGUUUGGAUGUCUAAUGGAAAUCUUAAACAGUCCCAAACUGAGCUUCCCCCAGAUGCACCUCUCCCACAGUGCUCUCCAACUGUGGCCAGUUGCUCAGGCCAAACACCCUGGAGUCAUCCUUAAAUCUGCCUUCUCUCAUGGACCUGGCAUCUAUUAGACAGUGAGUGAAUUUUACUGGGUCGAACUUUAAAAUAUAAACAGAAUCCCACUGCUUCUCACUACCACCCUUGUCACCGUUGCCUCUCACUUAGAUUAUUGCCCUUUGCUUCCUACCCUGGCUCCCUCAGCAGUCUUUGCUGAACACCAAAGCCAGAGUGAGCCUGCUAAGAUCACAUCACUUCUCUGCCCCAAAUUCCUUUCUCAAGUAGAGGAAAAGCCAAAGUCCUCAAAAUCAGCUAUCAGGUCCUCCACACCAGCCACACUGCCUUCCUUUAGCAAAGCAGGCACACUCCCACCUCAGGAUCUUCGUACUUCUUCUUUCUGCCUGGCAUGCUUUCCCUCCUUCGAGUCUCUGGCCAAAUGUAACCCCCUCUCUCUGUGAGCCCGUCCUGGCCCACCUACGGAAACUGCAACCUCUGCCCCACCCUGCC
Molecule: long non-coding RNA, 1042 nt
Filed under: Equus asinus (donkey)
Lineage: Eukaryota; Metazoa; Chordata; Mammalia; Perissodactyla; Equidae
Description: lncRNA (ENSEASG00005030982.1)
Source: RNAcentral